AUUGAACGCUGGCGGCAGGCCUAACACAUGCAAGUCGAACGGCAGCGGGGGAUAGCUUGCUAUCCUGCCGGCGAGUGGCGGACGGGUGAGUAAUGCAUGGGGAGCUGCCCAGUCGAGGGGGAUAACAACUGGAAACGGUUGCUAAUACCGCAUACGCCCUAAGGGGGAAAGGUGGGGAACUUCGGUCCUACCGCGAUUGGAUGCGCCCAUGUGGGAUUAGCUAGUUGGUGAGGUAACGGCUCACCAAGGCGACGAUCUCUAGCUGGUCUGAGAGGAUGACCAGCCACACUGGAACUGAGACACGGUCCAGACUCCUACGGGAGGCAGCAGUGGGGAAUAUUGCACAAUGGGGGAAACCCUGAUGCAGCCAUGCCGCGUGUGUGAAGAAGGCCUUCGGGUUGUAAAGCACUUUCAGUCAGGAGGAAGGUGGUAAGGCUAAUAUCCUUAUCAAUUGACGUUACUGACAGAAGAAGCACCGGCUAACUCCGUGCCAGCAGCCGCCGUAA
This 506-nucleotide ribosomal RNA is filed under the name uncultured bacterium. RNAcentral's name for it is "partial 16S ribosomal RNA". It matches the Rfam family "Bacterial small subunit ribosomal RNA", at positions 30 to 523 of the family's 1533-position model. The record is from RNAcentral.